GUAGAUGUAGCUCAGUCGGUUAGAGCGUUGGAGUGUGGUUCCAGAGGUCGUCGGUUCGAGCCCGAUCUUCUACC
This 74-nucleotide transfer RNA is filed under the name Culturomica sp. RNAcentral's name for it is "tRNA-His". It matches the Rfam family "tRNA". From Rfam's summary of the family: Transfer RNA (tRNA) molecules are approximately 80 nucleotides in length. Their secondary structure includes four short double-helical elements and three loops (D, anti-codon, and T loops). Further hydrogen bonds mediate the characteristic L-shaped molecular structure. tRNAs have two regions of fundamental functional importance: the anti-codon, which is responsible for specific mRNA codon recognition, and the 3' end, to which the tRNAs corresponding amino acid is attached (by aminoacyl-tRNA synthetases). tRNAs cope with the degeneracy of the genetic code in two manners: having more than one tRNA (with a specific anti-codon) for a particular amino acid; and 'wobble' base-pairing, i.e. permitting non-standard base-pairing at the 3rd anti-codon position. The record is from RNAcentral. Lineage: Bacteria; Pseudomonadati; Bacteroidota; Bacteroidia; Bacteroidales; Odoribacteraceae.